AGAGUUUGAUCCUGGCCCAGAACGAACGUUGGCGGCGUGGAUUAGGCAUGCAAGUCGAACGAGAAAGGUUCCUUCGGGGACCUAGUACAGUGGCGAAAGGGGGAGUAAUACAUAGACAACUUACCCCCGAGACGGGGACAACCACUCGAAAGGGUGGCUAAUACCCGAUACUGCCUGGAGUCGGUGGAUUCCAGGUGAAAGAAGGCCUCUGUUUCAAGCUUUCACUCGAGGAGGGGUUUAUGUCCUAUUAGCUUGUUGGUGAGGUAACGGCUCACCAAGGCAACGAUGGGUAGCCGACCUGAGAGGGUGACCGGCCACACUGGGACUGAGACACUGCCCAGACUCCUACGGGAGGCUGCAGUCGAGAAUCUUCCGCAAUGCGCGCAAGCGUGACGGAGCGACGCCGCGUGGGCGAUGAAGGCCUUCGGGUUGUAAAACCCUGUCACCUAUUAUGAACAGCGGGUGGUGAAUAUCCAGCCCGUUUGACGGCAGUAGAUGAGGAAGCACCGGCUAAAUACGUGCCAGCAGCCGCGGUAAUACGUAUGGUGCAAACGUUGUUCGGAAUUACUGGGCAUAAAGGGCGUGUAGGCGGUUUGGUAAGUCUGUAUGUGAAAUCCCUCGGCUCAACCGAGGAACUGCAUCGGAUACUGCCGAACUAGAGUGCAAGAGGGGAGAGUGGAAUUCCUGGUGGAGCGGUGAAAUGCGUAGAUAUCAGGAGGAACGCCGGUGGCGAAAGCGACUCUCUGGCCUGCAACUGACGCUGAGGCGCGAAAGCUAGGGGAGCAAACGGGAUUAGAUACCCCGGUAGUCCUAGCCCUAAACGAUGAGCACUAGGUAGAGGAAGUUCCGAUGCUUUCUCUGCUGUCGCUAAUGUUUUAAGUGCUCCGCCUGGGGAGUAUGGUCGCAAGGCUAAAACUCAAAGGAAUUGACGGGGGCUCACACAAGCGGUGGAGCAUGUUGUUCAAUUCGAAGCAACGCGAAGAACCUUACCCGGGUUUGACAUGCUUGGGACCGUCUGCGAAAACAGGCUUUCUCUUCGGAGGGCGAUACACAGGUGGUGCAUGGCUGUCGUCAGCUCGUGUCGUGAGAUGUUGGGUUAAGUCCCGCAACGAGCGCAACCCUCGUCCUAUGUUGCCAGCACGUAAUGGUGGGGACUCGUAGGAGACUGCCGGGGUCAAGUCGGAGGAAGGUGGGGACGACGUCAAGUCAUCAUGCCCCUUAUAUCCAGGGCUGCAAACAUGCUACAAUGGCCGAUACAAAGGGCUGCGAAACCGCGAGGUCAAGCGAAUCCCAUAAAGUCGGUCUCAGUUCGGAUUGGAGUCUGCAACUCGACUCCAUGAAGCUGGAGUCGCUAGUAAUCCCGGAUCAGCAACGCCGGGGUGAAUACGUUCCCGGGCCUUGUACACACCGCCCGUCACACCACGAAAGUUGGCAACACCCGAAGUCAGUGGCCCAACCCCUUGGGGAGGGAGCUGCCGAAGGUGGGGUUAGCGAUUGGGGUGAAGUCGUAACAAGGUAGCC
Molecule: ribosomal RNA, 1521 nt
Filed under: uncultured prokaryote
Description: partial 16S ribosomal RNA
Rfam family: Bacterial small subunit ribosomal RNA
Source: RNAcentral